RNAcentral lists this ribosomal RNA (301 nucleotides) under uncultured bacterium. Its description in RNAcentral is "partial 16S ribosomal RNA". It matches the Rfam family "Bacterial small subunit ribosomal RNA", at positions 509 to 807 of the family's 1533-position model. The record is from RNAcentral.
CAGUCGCCGCGGGAAUACAGAGGGUGCAAGCGUUAAUCGGAAUUACUGGGCGUAAAGCGCGCGUAGGUGGUUUGUUAAGUUGGAUGUAAAAGCCCCGGGCUCAACCUGGGAACUGCAUCCAAAACUGGCAAGCUAGAGUACGGUAGAGGGUGGUGGAAUUUCCUGCGUAGCGGUGAAAUGCGUAGAUAUAGGAAGGAACACCAGUGGCGAAGGCGACCACCUGGACUGAUACUGACACUGAGGUGCGAAAGCGUGGGGAGCAAACAGGAUUAGAUACCCCAGUAGUCCCUGUCUCUUAUAC